RNAcentral lists this small nuclear RNA (122 nucleotides) under Pteropus alecto (black flying fox). RNAcentral describes it as "U2 spliceosomal RNA". It matches the Rfam family "U2 spliceosomal RNA". From Rfam's summary of the family: U2 is a small nuclear RNA (snRNA) component of the spliceosome (involved in pre-mRNA splicing). Complementary binding between U2 snRNA (in an area lying towards the 5' end but 3' to hairpin I) and the branchpoint sequence (BPS) of the intron results the bulging out of an unpaired adenosine, on the BPS, which initiates a nucleophilic attack at the intronic 5' splice site, thus starting the first of two transesterification reactions that mediate splicing. The record is from Rfam by way of RNAcentral. Lineage: Eukaryota; Metazoa; Chordata; Mammalia; Chiroptera; Pteropodidae.
AUCACAUCUCAGCCUUUUGGCUAAGAUCAAGUGUAGUAUCUGUUUUUGUCAGUUUAAUAAAAGUGUCCUCUGCUAAAAUAUCUUAUCCAUAUAAACUUAUUCUUCUAUUCUUUGCAUGCUCA